This 72-nucleotide transfer RNA is filed under the name Bertelyvirus sp. RNAcentral's name for it is "tRNA-Phe". It matches the Rfam family "tRNA". Rfam says of the family: Transfer RNA (tRNA) molecules are approximately 80 nucleotides in length. The record is from RNAcentral. Lineage: Duplodnaviria; Heunggongvirae; Uroviricota; Caudoviricetes; Jeanschmidtviridae. RNAcentral also lists the same sequence under 5 other names.
GGGGAUGUAGCUCAGUGGUAGAGCGGGAGACUGAAAAUCUCCGCGUCGGUGGUUCGACCCCACCCUUCCCCA